GACGUAGGGCGCAAGCGUUGUCCGGAUUUAUUGGGCGUAAAGAGCUCGUAGGCGGCCUGUCGCGUCGACCGUGAAAACCCGCAGCUCAACUGCGGGCUUGCGGUCGAUACGGGCAGGCUGGAGUUCGGUAGGGGAGGCUGGAAUUCCUGGUGUAGCGGUGAAAUGCGCAGAUAUCAGGAGGAACACCGGUGGCGAAGGCGGGUCUCUGGGCCGAUACUGACGCUGAGGAGCGAAAGCGUGGGGAGCGAACAGG
Molecule: ribosomal RNA, 253 nt
Filed under: uncultured bacterium
Lineage: Bacteria
Description: partial 16S ribosomal RNA
Rfam family: Bacterial small subunit ribosomal RNA
Source: RNAcentral